RNAcentral lists this long non-coding RNA (239 nucleotides) under Gossypium raimondii (Peruvian cotton). RNAcentral's name for it is "long non-coding RNA (GRAI_LNC001598)". The record is from RNAcentral. Lineage: Eukaryota; Viridiplantae; Streptophyta; Magnoliopsida; Malvales; Malvaceae.
GGGGGGAUAUGAUCAGCCACAAAUCAAUAUGGAAAAUUAGGCUUUUCUGACGCACUUAAGUAUCUUUUUCUUGAGCAAUAUGGAGUUUUUAGAAUAGUUUUUCAUUAUUUUUUUAUUUUUAUAUUUUUUGGGUAAUAAGUGAAAAUGUCACGUUUUUGCUCAUUUUGUAACCAAAUUUGACCAAUCGAGCCAUGGGGAACCUAACAAGUUGAUAAAGUGUUGUAGGGAGUCGACGGUGG